AUUAAAUUUUUACAUGAUCUGAGUUUAGACCGGUGUAAGCCAGGUUGGUUUCUAUCUUUAUUAAUUUAAUA
Molecule: transfer RNA, 71 nt
Filed under: Hydroporus dobrogeanus complex sp. IBE<ESP> AV49
Lineage: Eukaryota; Metazoa; Arthropoda; Insecta; Coleoptera; Dytiscidae
Description: tRNA-Leu
Source: RNAcentral